This 139-nucleotide ribosomal RNA is filed under the name uncultured eukaryote. RNAcentral's name for it is "partial 18S ribosomal RNA". It matches the Rfam family "Eukaryotic small subunit ribosomal RNA", at positions 1299 to 1458 of the family's 1831-position model. The record is from RNAcentral.
UGGUGGAGUGAUUUGUCUGGUUAAUUCCGGUAACGAGCGAGACCUCAGCCUACUAAUUAGACGCUUCAAUCUUUGCUUGAAGUGUGCUUCUUAGAGGGACUCUCGGCGGUUGAGCCGAUGGAAGUUUGAGGCAAUAACA